This 224-nucleotide ribosomal RNA is filed under the name Loigolactobacillus coryniformis subsp. coryniformis. RNAcentral's name for it is "Lactobacillus coryniformis subsp. coryniformis partial 23S ribosomal RNA". It matches the Rfam family "Bacterial large subunit ribosomal RNA", at positions 1440 to 1660 of the family's 2925-position model. Lineage: Bacteria; Bacillati; Bacillota; Bacilli; Lactobacillales; Lactobacillaceae. The record is from RNAcentral.
UGUACUAGUUUAUUUUGUUUGAACGAUGGAGGGACGCAGGAGGCUAAAGGAUCCGCACGAUUGGAAAUGUGCGGCCAAGCAAUAAGUCUUGGUGUGAGUCAAAUGCUUGCACCUGUACGGACAAGUUGUGAUGGGGAGCGAAUUUAAGUAGCGAAGUCCUUGAUGUCACACUGCCGAGAAAAGCUUCUAGUGAGAAAUAAACUACCCGUACCGCAAACCGACAC